This 442-nucleotide ribosomal RNA is filed under the name uncultured Devosia sp. Its description in RNAcentral is "bacterial SSU rRNA". It matches the Rfam family "Bacterial small subunit ribosomal RNA", at positions 335 to 795 of the family's 1533-position model. The record is from RNAcentral. Lineage: Bacteria; Pseudomonadati; Pseudomonadota; Alphaproteobacteria; Hyphomicrobiales; Devosiaceae.
UGCCUACGGGCGGCAGCAGUGGGGAAUAUUGGACAAUGGGCGAAAGCCUGAUCCAGCCAUGCCGCGUGAGUGAUGAAGGCCUUAGGGUUGUAAAGCUCUUUCAGUGGGGAAGAUAAUGACGGUACCCACAGAAGAAGCCCCGGCUAACUUCGUGCCAGCAGCCGCGGUAAUACGAAGGGGGCUAGCGUUGUUCGGAUUUACUGGGCGUAAAGCGCACGUAGGCGGAUCGUUAAGUCGGGGGUGAAAUCCUGGAGCUCAACUCCAGAACUGCCUUCGAUACUGGCGAUCUAGAGUCCGGAAGAGGUGAGUGGAACUCCUAGUGUAGAGGUGGAAUUCGUAGAUAUUAGGAAGAACACCAGUGGCGAAGGCGGCUCACUGGUCCGGUACUGACGCUGAGGUGCGAAAGCGUGGGGAGCAAACAGGAUUAGAUACCCGUGUAGUC